Molecule: microRNA precursor, 145 nt
Organism: Gossypium arboreum
Lineage: Eukaryota; Viridiplantae; Streptophyta; Magnoliopsida; Malvales; Malvaceae
Rfam family: MIR7502 microRNA precursor family
Source: Rfam
UAUUAAAAAAUUUAUCCAUUUAUAUAGUUAAAAUUUGGCGUAAUUGAUGGAAUAACCAAACAAUGACAAGUGGUGCGACACAUAUAUCUCAUGAUAACAUAUGGUAACCAAUUUUUAAUUAUAGAAAUUAAUGAAAUUUUUAAUU